GAUGAACGCUGGCGGCGUGCCUAAUACAUGCAAGUCGAGCGAACGGACGAGAAGCUUGCUUUUCUGAUGUUAGCGGCGGACGGGUGAGUAACACGUGGAUAACCUACCUAUAAGACUGAGAUAACUUCGGGAAACCGGAGCUAAUACCGGAUAAUAUUUUGAACCGCAUGGUUCAAAAGUGAAAGACGGUCUUGCUGUCACUUAUAGAUGGAUCCGCGCUGCAUUAGCUAGUUGGUAAGGUAACGGCUUACCAAGGCAACGAUGCAUAGCCGACCUGAGAGGGUGAUCGGCCACACUGGAACUGAGACAAGGUCCAGACUCCUACGGGAGGCAGCAGUAGGGAAUCUUCCGCAAUGGGCGAAAGCCUGACGGAGCAACGCCGCGUGAGUGAUGAAGGUCUUCGGAUCGUAAAACUCUGUUAUUAGGGAAGAACAUAUGUGUAAGUAACUGUGCACAUCUUGACGGUACCUAAUGAGAAAGCCACGGCUAACUACGUG
Molecule: ribosomal RNA, 497 nt
Filed under: uncultured bacterium
Lineage: Bacteria
Description: partial 16S ribosomal RNA
Rfam family: Bacterial small subunit ribosomal RNA
Source: RNAcentral